GUGCCAGAAGAAGGUCUGCGGGUCGUCAAACUCGGCCGUGCAGUCCUGCCAGUAGCAGCUGCGAACAGCGGGCGCCCGCGAGGUCAGUCACGGAGCGCCACUUCACUCAGUGCCACGUUAAGCAGCGUUCUUGCGCAUGGCACCACGGAUCGACCACUCGACUUUGGCCCGCGCCUAAAUCAUGGACCACCAUCAUGCUCAGAAGCCAGUUAUCAAGCCAGGACGGCCCACAUAGAACACACGUGGAGAAGCUGAUCGCCGUGCCGCCCUCCCAUCCCCACGAGCCCACGGCUGACGACACUCACACGAAUGGAUCCGGCAGGUCGGGCAGCAAGUGUCGCUCGCUACUAUCCAGCGUGCAGCGGCGGAUGCCUGACCGCUUCAGUAUCUCAGCGCCGAAGGCCAUCAGCCGACAGUGGUACGCAUGGUAGAGCACGUGCCGCCGGAUCAUACGCUCGUCCAGCACUCGGAACGUGCAGUCGGCCCAGCGGCAGCGCUCGUACGUGUUGCCAGGAUCUGCGGCGGUGAUUGGCGGUCAGUGAUCAGCAGCUAGCGGUCAAGUGGUAAAUGGCUGGCGGCCGGUACUCAGUGAUCAGUCGCGGUCGAUUAGAUAUCGGCGAUGAACAGCUAGCGGUGGUCAGUGGACUGGUCCGUGGUCAUUGGCCGGUGUCGGUGAUACUCAGUCCAGGAAUACAAGGUAUCGACUAUCGUCUA
Molecule: long non-coding RNA, 714 nt
Organism: Amphibalanus amphitrite
Lineage: Eukaryota; Metazoa; Arthropoda; Thecostraca; Balanomorpha; Balanidae
Exons: 2
Source: RefSeq, a predicted model, not a curated record